Long non-coding RNA from Leguminivora glycinivorella, 888 nucleotides. RefSeq lists it as uncharacterized. The transcript has 3 exons. Lineage: Eukaryota; Metazoa; Arthropoda; Insecta; Lepidoptera; Tortricidae. The record is from RefSeq and is a predicted model, not a curated record.
UAAAUACCUUUUGGUAUAAUUUUGUAGAUAUUGGGGGAUUUUUUUUUGAGAUUUUACAGUCUCGAACUUGCGUCAGGUUUUUUUGAUUCUGAUAUUUUUUUGGUAGGUUUAGUUUUCUUGCCUUCAGAUUUUGUUUUUUUUUUUAUGAAAGUCGCUGAGGACAGCGAGCGGUUCACCUACGUUGAACCUUAAAUCGGGAAGGGGGGUAUUGUAACGUAGCAGAUUUUUUGAUAGUCGUAAUUAAAUAUUUUGGAUAGAUUUAAUUUUUGAAUGAAACACUUCCUUCUCGUUCAUUGCAUUAUCUGUUGCACUUCAAAUGCACAUAUUUAUGUUUAUCUGUUGUAGGGUUGCCAUACAACAAGUAUUAUUCGAAAUUGUAGGUAUUUUGGCUGUCAUUCCAGGAAAACUUUGUAUAGUUUUGAUAUACUUUAAGUAUUGAUUUUUGGAAAAUAUAAUAUUUUAGAGACAUGAUAACAAAUGUUAUCAUAGGUUUUUUAAGGCUGUUCUGGAAUGAUAUUUGUUAGGUUUUGUUUACUUCAAGGUCUGAUACAGAAACUGGAGUAAUUUUCAUUUAAUGAAUUAGAGUAUUUUAUUGUUUAUUCGUUUGCCACCCGGCUUUUGUUUUGGGUCCUUUAAAUUCGAGAUCAUUCAGUGCGCCGUUCUUUCUGUGACGAGAUCCUCUUGUAUAGUGAUCGGACGGCCGUAUAAGGGCCUGGAGCCCGGCAUGCCACGUGCUGCCGUGGCGUUCCAUAUUUUGUGUGGUGCGUUCUGUCAGUCUGACUGGCAGAAACAUGCUAAGGGUGGGAGUGCUCCUUGGAGAUCCUCGGUCUGCAGUCUGCAGGUCUCCGGAGUCGGGAAGAAGUAAAGAAUUAGAGAAUUGCAGAAGUA